This 453-nucleotide ribosomal RNA is filed under the name uncultured Bacteroidales bacterium. RNAcentral describes it as "bacterial SSU rRNA". It matches the Rfam family "Bacterial small subunit ribosomal RNA", at positions 917 to 1370 of the family's 1533-position model. Lineage: Bacteria; Pseudomonadati; Bacteroidota; Bacteroidia; Bacteroidales. The record is from RNAcentral.
GGGCCCGCACAAGCGGAGGAACAUGUGGUUUAAUUCGAUGAUACGCGAGGAACCUUACCCGGGCUCGAACGGCUGCAGAAUACGGAAGAAAGUUCGUAGCCAGCAAUGGCUGUAGUCGAGGUGCUGCAUGGUUGUCGUCAGCUCGUGCCGUGAGGUGUCGGCUUAAGUGCCAUAACGAGCGCAACCCUUACCGAUAGUUACCAGCGAGUGAAGUUGGGGACUCUGUCGGGACUGCCACCGUAAGGUGUGAGGAAGGUGGGGAUGACGUCAAAUCAGCACGGCCCUUACGUCCGGGGCGACACACGUGUUACAAUGGGGGGGACAAAGGGCAGCUACACAGCGAUGUGAUGCGAAUCUCGAAACCCUCUCCCAGUUCGGAUCGAAGUCUGCAACCCGACUUCGUGAAGCUGGAUUCGCUAGUAAUCGCGCAUCAGCCAUGGCGCGGUGAAUACG